This is an RNA transcript of Cebus imitator (Panamanian white-faced capuchin), 979 nucleotides long. It is a transcript of the gene named cleavage and polyadenylation specificity factor subunit 5-like, with no coding region annotated. The record is from RefSeq and is a predicted model, not a curated record. Lineage: Eukaryota; Metazoa; Chordata; Mammalia; Primates; Cebidae. The transcript has a single exon.
AUGUCUGUGGUACCUCCCAAUCACUCGCAGACCGGCUGGUCCCUGGGGGUCCCUCGGUUCGGCAACAAGUACAUCCAGCAGACCAAACCCCUCACCCUGGCGUGUACCAUCAACCUGUACCCUCUUACCAAUUAUACUUUUGGUACAAAUAGCCUCUCUACGAGAAGGACAGUUCUGUUGCAGCCAGAUUUCAGCACAUGAGGGAAGAAUUUGAUUAAAUUGGAAUAAGGAGGACCGUAGAAGAGGCUCUAACUGUACAUGAGCAUCGGUUACCCCAUGUGUUACUGCUACAGCUGGAAAAAACUUUCUUCAAACUACCUGGUGGUAAACUUAACCCAGGAGAAGAUGAAGUUGAAGGACUGAAAUGCUUAAUGACGGAGAUACUGUGUCGUCAGGAUAGAGUUCUGCAAGACUGGGUCAUUGAUGACUGCAUUGGUAACUGGUGGAGAACAACUUUUGAACCUCCUCAGUAUCCAUAUAUUCCUGCACAUGUUACAAAACCUAAGGAACAUAAGAAGUUGUUUCUGGUUCAGCUGCAAGAAAAAGCUAUGUUUGCAGUCCCUAAAAAUUACAAGCUGGUAGCUGCACCAUUGUUUGAAUUGCAUGACAAAGCACCAGGAUAUGGAUCCAUUAUUUCUAGUCUCCCUCAGCUGUUGAGCAGGUUAAAUUUUAUACACAACUGAAUUCCUGCCCAGUGGAGAAGUAAAAGAAGCCUCUUGUCUCUGUGAGCAUAGCUACAUACAGUGUGGCAUAACUGUGGUAGAAAAGUUUUUUUAGUUUUAUCUCCUUUGCGAUCCCAAAAUUGCCACCUACUUUCUAUCAUUUGAAUAGUGAAAUUAAUAGGAAGAACCAGAUAGUGGUGUAAACAAAUAUGAUAAUGUUUAUUUACUUUUGGUUCUACUCAUACUUUUUUGUACAACAUUAAAGAAAAUGGACUUCUUUUUUCAUUUUAAUUUCUCAUUCAACUUCUAAAAUUCUU